UACGUAGGGUCCGAGCGUUGUCCGGAAUUAUUGGGCGUAAAGAGCUCGUAGGCGGUUUGUCGCGUCUGCUGUGAGAACCUAAGGCUCAACCUUGGGCUUGCAGUGGGUACGGGCAGACUAGAGUGCGGUAGGGGUGACUGGAAUUCCUGGUGUAGCGGUGGAAUGCGCAGAUAUCAGGAGGAACACCGAUGGCGAAGGCAGGUCACUGGGCCGCAACUGACGCUGAGGAGCGAAAGCAUGGGGAGCGAACAGG
This 253-nucleotide ribosomal RNA is filed under the name uncultured bacterium. RNAcentral describes it as "partial 16S ribosomal RNA". It matches the Rfam family "Bacterial small subunit ribosomal RNA", at positions 524 to 776 of the family's 1533-position model. The record is from RNAcentral.